This 777-nucleotide ribosomal RNA is filed under the name Plectotropis mackensii. RNAcentral's name for it is "partial large subunit ribosomal RNA". Lineage: Eukaryota; Metazoa; Mollusca; Gastropoda; Stylommatophora; Camaenidae. The record is from RNAcentral.
CGAAUUAACUUGAGCUAAAUUAAUUUAGAUAUUAGACUCAAUAUAAUAAUGUAGUAUAAUUAUUAAUAAAAAUUAAUUUAGGGGUGAAAGGCCAUCAAAAGUUAAGAUAUCUUGAUGUUUUCAAAAAGUAUUUAGUACAAUUACAGUUGUGAAGUGUUUAGGCUUUACAAGAAUAUUAAUAUUUUUGAGUAUAUUAAUUAGGGUUUAAUAAUCAAUAAAUAGAAAAAUUAAGUAUUAUUUUAAAACAAGUUAUUAUGUAUAGUAAAUAAUAAUAAAAUUAUUUUUAUUAAAAAUAAUGUUACCAUAAGUAGAAAAAUAGACUUUAUAAAUUAACUCGGCAAAUUUUACCUCAACUGUUUAUCAAAAACAUAACUAUGUGAAUAUCUACAUAGCUACUUCUGCUCAAUGAUAUAUUAAAUAGCCGCAGUACUCUGACUGUGCAAAGGUAGCAUAAUCAAUUGACUUAUAAUUGAAGUCUGGAAUGAAAGAAAAAAAAAUGGGGAAAAACUGUUUCUAUAAAGAAAACCUAAAUUAAUUAGCAAGUGAAAAUUCUUGUUUAUAAAUAAUAGACGAGAAGACCCUUGAAAUUUUUAUUAAAAUUAACAUAAACAUUUUUGUUGGGGCGACAAAUUAACAAUAAACUUAAUUACUAAAUAAGAAGCCUCUUGGCAGUGUAAAUAAAUUACUCAAGGGAUAACAGCAUAAUAUUAUAAAGUUUGUGACCUCGAUGUUGGAUUAGGAUAUUAUAGUUUAGAAGAUUAAUUUAAUGGCUCUGUU